RNAcentral lists this transfer RNA (66 nucleotides) under Amynthas tamaensis. Its description in RNAcentral is "tRNA-Lys". It matches the Rfam family "tRNA". From Rfam's summary of the family: Transfer RNA (tRNA) molecules are approximately 80 nucleotides in length. Their secondary structure includes four short double-helical elements and three loops (D, anti-codon, and T loops). The record is from RNAcentral. Lineage: Eukaryota; Metazoa; Annelida; Clitellata; Crassiclitellata; Megascolecidae.
AUGACUAGAGAGCUUGAAAUAGCACUUGACUUUUAAUCAAGAGAUAAUAUUAUAUAUUUCUAGUUA